AUACGUAGGUGACAAGCGUUAUCCGGAUUUACUGGGCGUAAAGGGCGUGUAGGCGGUCUUGCAAGUCAGAAGUGAAAUUCCUGAGCUCAACUCGGGCGCUGCUUCUGAAACUGCAGGACUUGAGUGCUGGAGGGGAUAGCGGAAUUCCUAGUGGAGCGGUAAAAUGCGCAGAUAUUAGGAAGAACACCGGUGGCGAAGGCGGCUAUUAGGACAUUAACUGACGCGGCGGCGCGAAAUCGUGGGGAGCAAACAGGAUUAGAUACCCGGCGAGUCCACGCCGUAAACGAGGAAUACUAGGUGUAGGGGGUAUCGACUCCCUCUGUGCCGCAGUUAACACAAUAAGUAUUCAGCCUGGGGAGCACGGCCGCAAGGUUGACACUCAAAUGAAUUGACGGGG
This 397-nucleotide ribosomal RNA is filed under the name uncultured bacterium. Its description in RNAcentral is "partial 16S ribosomal RNA". It matches the Rfam family "Bacterial small subunit ribosomal RNA", at positions 523 to 918 of the family's 1533-position model. The record is from RNAcentral.